Molecule: ribosomal RNA, 508 nt
Filed under: uncultured bacterium
Lineage: Bacteria
Description: partial 16S ribosomal RNA
Rfam family: Bacterial small subunit ribosomal RNA
Source: RNAcentral
GACGAACGCUGGCGGCGUGCCUAAUACAUGCAAGUCGAGCGCAGGAAGUCAUCCGAACCCUUCGGGGGGACGUUGACGGAAUGAGCGGCGGACGGGUGAGUAACACGUAAAGAACCUGCCCUCAGGCCUGGGAUAACCACGAGAAAUCGGGGCUAAUACCGGAUGGGUCAUCGGACCGCAUGGUCCGAGGAUGAAAGGCGCUCCGGCGUCGCCUGGGGAUGGCUUUGCGGUGCAUUAGCUAGUUGGUGGGGUAAUGGCCCACCAAGGCGACGAUGCAUAGCCGACCUGAGAGGGUGAUCGGCCACACUGGGACUGAGACACGGCCCAGACUCCUACGGGAGGCAGCAGUAGGGAAUUUUCCACAAUGGACGAAAGUCUGAUGGAGCAACGCCGCGUGAACGAUGAAGGCCCUCGGGUCGUAAAGUUCUGUUGUAAGGGAAGAACAAGUGCCGCAGGCAAUGGCGGCACCUUGACGGUACCUUGCGAGAAAGCCACGGCUAACUACGUG